RNAcentral lists this small RNA (215 nucleotides) under Pongo abelii (Sumatran orangutan). RNAcentral's name for it is "processed transcript". The record is from RNAcentral. Lineage: Eukaryota; Metazoa; Chordata; Mammalia; Primates; Hominidae.
AGAGCGCCGCAGGAGUCCCUCCUGCCGUCUGACUUGAGUCCCUGCUGCUGCAGUGCACGCCCCUUCGGCAGCCAGGGUGGGGCCCAGACCCAACCUGGCCCCUCCUGCCCCCACCCCGCCUUUGGGUCGCUGAUCACAGGGCCAGAGGAGGCGGACCGGCCCCCUUCAAUGUCCAGUCAUGAUGCAGCCUCUCCAGCGGCUCCCAGCCGCAACCC